This 70-nucleotide transfer RNA is filed under the name Stenamma expolitum. Its description in RNAcentral is "tRNA-Thr". Lineage: Eukaryota; Metazoa; Arthropoda; Insecta; Hymenoptera; Formicidae. The record is from RNAcentral.
AGAUCAAUAGUUUAAAAAAAAUAUUAAUUUUGUAAAUUAAAGAUAUAUUUUAUUUACAAUAUUUUAUCUA